AGUUCGGAUUGUAGUCUGCAACCCGACUACAUGAAGCCGGAAUCGCUAGUAAUCGCGGAUCAGAAUGCCGUGGUGAAUACGUUCCCGGGUCUUGUACACACCGCCCGUCACACCAUGGGAGUUGGAAAUGCCCGAAGUCAGUGGUCCAACCGGAAGGGGGAGCUGCCGAAGGCAGGUUCGAUGACUGGGGUGAAGUCGUAACAAGGUAUC
RNAcentral lists this ribosomal RNA (210 nucleotides) under uncultured bacterium. RNAcentral's name for it is "partial 16S ribosomal RNA". It matches the Rfam family "Bacterial small subunit ribosomal RNA", at positions 1290 to 1500 of the family's 1533-position model. The record is from RNAcentral.